UGGGGUGCUCGAGUGGCGAACGGGUGAGUAACACGUGAGUAACCUGCCCUUGACUUUGGGAUAACUUCAGGAAACUGGGGCUAAUACCGGAUAGGAGCUCCUGCUGCACGGUGGGGGUUGGAAAGUUUCGGCGGUUGGGGAUGGACUCGCGGCUUAUCAGCUUGUUGGUGGGGUAGUGGCUUACCAAGGCUUUGACGGGUAGCCGGCCUGAGAGGGUGACCGGCCACAUUGGGACUGAGAUACGGCCCAG
This 250-nucleotide ribosomal RNA is filed under the name uncultured Actinomycetales bacterium. RNAcentral's name for it is "partial 16S ribosomal RNA". It matches the Rfam family "Bacterial small subunit ribosomal RNA", at positions 83 to 334 of the family's 1533-position model. The record is from RNAcentral. Lineage: Bacteria; Bacillati; Actinomycetota; Actinomycetes; Actinomycetales.